AGUGAACGCUGGCGGUAGGCCUAACACAUGCAAGUCGAACGGCAGCACAGUAAGAGCUUGCUCUUACGGGUGGCGCGUGGCGGACGGGUGAGGAAUACAUCGGAAUCUACUUUUUCGUGGGGGAUAACGUAGGGAAACUUACGCUAAUACCGCAUACGACCUACGGGUGAAAGCAGGGGAUCUUCGGACCUUGCGCGAUUGAAUGAGCCGAUGUCGGAUUAGCUAGUUGGCGGGGUAAAGGCCCACCAAGGCGACGAUCCGUAGCUGGUCCGAGAGGAUGAUCAGCCACACUGGAACUGAGACACGGUCCAGACUCCUACGGGAGGCAGCAGUGGGGAAUAUUGGACAAUGGGCGCAAGCCUGAUCCAGCCAUACCGCGUGGGUGAAGAAGGCCUUCGGGUUGUAAAGCCCUUUUGUUGGGAAAGAAAAGCAGCAGGUUAAUACCCCGCUGUUCUGACGGUACCCAAAGAAUAAGCACCGGCUAACUUCGUG
Molecule: ribosomal RNA, 492 nt
Filed under: uncultured bacterium
Lineage: Bacteria
Description: partial 16S ribosomal RNA
Rfam family: Bacterial small subunit ribosomal RNA
Source: RNAcentral